This is a long non-coding RNA of Branchiostoma floridae (Florida lancelet), 1119 nucleotides long. RefSeq lists it as uncharacterized. Lineage: Eukaryota; Metazoa; Chordata; Leptocardii; Amphioxiformes; Branchiostomatidae. The transcript is spliced from 3 exons. The record is from RefSeq and is a predicted model, not a curated record.
GUACGAACUUGUCCGAAGUUAUGACGUCACGCUAAGCAUGACGUCAUCUAAACUUUGGACAGUCAGCCGGGUGUACUGAUCAGGUCGCGUAUUCCUAGGAAGAUGUCGCCUAGCAUGACUUUGGCGAUACAUAUACUACACUACGCGUCUACAAGUUUUCUGUGUUACGUUCAAAUGUCUCAACUGUCAUUUCUAGAACCUUUUUUCUAAUGUUCUCAUCUUCUUAGACGUCACAAUCUGACGCUUACGUCACUAACUCAGGUGUUUUCGUAAUUCGAAACCGGAAUGCGUUCUUCGAACGGUGUCGUUUUUCAGUCUAACAGUUUGAAACCGUGUGGCGAUGAAGUCGCCACGGCUACUUUUUAGUCUGUGUCUUUGACGAAAUAGACUUUUUUAACGGGGGAAUUACGGACAAUAUUAUAUCAUAUCAUGUCGUGCAGUAAAUCUUUGAAGGCUACAGAUCUCCAUUCGUCCUAGAGAGUCGAGUUUGACUGGAAGGAUUUUCCGGAAGAACUUGUUCAGGGAUGUUGUGCUGUUGCAUCUGUUUUGUGCGUGCCAACGGUGGCUGUUUUAUAUAGCCUUAUCACGGUCGCGGCUUUUGCUGUAAGCCAUGCACAAGUCUCUCCACCUGACACCAAAUGGAGGGAAAAUGUUCUUCUGUGGACAGCCAUCUGUCUGCCAACAGCGAAGCAGAAGAAGACAUGAAUAAGUCCAUUGAGGCAAACGAUGUGAUCGGGGGAGAGAAAAGGAAGCUGUGCGCCGCUUCAACGCUGCUGUCUCCACUAUGUGAUGCAGACGAUGACAACGACUUUGCUCUGACAACCAAUAAAAGGAGAUCAAUUUAAACAGUCUUUCUAUGUAAAAGGGGUGUGACCGUGCAGGCAGAAAAUGGCAUACUUCUGUACUAAAUGGUGGAAGUACUUCAAUUAAUUGUUAAAUUACAAGGAAUAAAAUAACAACUACUACUUCUUAUUAUACAAAGUAGUGAAAGAUGACUGCAAUACAUGUAGUUUAUAAGUAGAUAGGGGAGAUGUUUUCAGGUACUUGUAUUUAGAAGUGACGUAAAAAAAGGGAAAUAUAAUAUUAAGAGUGAACUUAAAUUAUUUUGUGUGCAUUGUU